CGUGCAAGGUAGCAUAAUCACUUGUCUACUAAUUAUAGACUUGUAUGAACGGCUAAAUGAGGGCCUAACUGUCUCCCGUGAUUAAUCAAUGAAACUGAUCUUCCAGUACAAAAGCUGAGAUAAACCCAUAAGACGAGAAGACCCUGUGGAGCUUCAAGCUCCAUUGUUAAUACAACGAAUACCACCAAAAGUUAUAUAACAAUAAGCUUUCAGUUGGGGCAACUUUGAAAAAAAAAAGAACUUUCAAACCACCAGGUGAUAACCUAUUCAGGCCAACAUGCCAAGACAAUAAUUACUAGACCCAGUCAUACUGAUCAAUGAACCAAGUUACCCCAGGGAUAACAGCGCAAUCUUCUUCAAGAGUCCUUAUCGCCAAGAAGGUUUACGACCUCGAUGUUGGAUCAGGACACCCAAGUGGUGCAGCCGCUACUAAAGGUUCGUUUGUUCAACGAUU
RNAcentral lists this ribosomal RNA (454 nucleotides) under Goniurosaurus zhoui. RNAcentral describes it as "partial 16S ribosomal RNA". It matches the Rfam family "Bacterial large subunit ribosomal RNA", at positions 1947 to 2589 of the family's 2925-position model. Lineage: Eukaryota; Metazoa; Chordata; Lepidosauria; Squamata; Eublepharidae. The record is from RNAcentral.